RNAcentral lists this unclassified non-coding RNA (380 nucleotides) under uncultured Rickettsiales bacterium. RNAcentral's name for it is "contains 16S-23S intergenic spacer region". Lineage: Bacteria; Pseudomonadati; Pseudomonadota; Alphaproteobacteria; Rickettsiales. The record is from RNAcentral.
UCCGGCUUAUCACCGGCAGUUUCCUCAGAGUGCUCAGCAUAACCUGUUAGCAACAGAGGACGAGGGUUGCGCUCGUUGCGGGACUUAACCCAACAUCUCACGACACGAGCUGACGACAGCCAUGCAGCACCUGUGCUCCUCCCACCCGAAGUGAAAGAAUACGUUUCUGCAUUCUAUAGAGGGCAUGUCAAGGCCUGGUAAGGUUCUUCGCGUUGCCUCGAAUUAAACCACAUGUUCCACCGCUUGUGCGGGUCCCCGUCAAUUCCUUUGAGUUUUAAUCUUGCGACCGUACUCCCCAGGCGGGAUGCUUAACGCGUUAGCUGCGCCACUGAGAGGUAACCCCCCAACGGCUAGCAUCCAUCGUUUACAGUGCGGACUAC